RNAcentral lists this ribosomal RNA (1448 nucleotides) under uncultured organism. RNAcentral's name for it is "SSU rRNA". It matches the Rfam family "Bacterial small subunit ribosomal RNA". The record is from RNAcentral.
ACAGGCUUAACACAUGCAAGUCGAGGGGCAUCAGGAAGAAAGCUUGCUUUCUUUGCUGGCGACCGGCGCACGGGUGAGUAACACGUAUCCAACCUGCCCUUUACUCGGGGAUAGCCUUUCGAAAGAAAGAUUAAUACCCGAUGGCAUAAUGAUUCCGCAUGGUUUCAUUAUUAAAGGAUUCCGGUAAAGGAUGGGGAUGCGUUCCAUUAGGUUGUUGGUGAGGUAACGGCUCACCAAGCCUUCGAUGGAUAGGGGUUCUGAGAGGAAGGUCCCCCACAUUGGAACUGAGACACGGUCCAAACUCCUACGGGAGGCAGCAGUGAGGAAUAUUGGUCAAUGGGCGCUAGCCUGAACCAGCCAAGUAGCGUGAAGGAUGAAGGCUCUAUGGGUCGUAAACUUCUUUUAUAUAAGAAUAAAGUGCAGUAUGUAUACUGUUUUGUAUGUAUUAUAUGAAUAAGGAUCGGCUAACUCCGUGCCAGCAGCCGCGGUAAUACGGAGGAUCCGAGCGUUAUCCGGAUUUAUUGGGUUUAAAGGGAGCGUAGGUGGACUGGUAAGUCAGUUGUGAAAGUUUGCGGCUCAACCGUAAAAUUGCAGUUGAUACUGUCAGUCUUGAGUACAGUAGAGGUGGGCGGAAUUCGUGGUGUAGCGGUGAAAUGCUUAGAUAUCACGAAGAACUCCGAUUGCGAAGGCAGCUCACUGGACUGCAACUGACACUGAUGCUCGAAAGUGUGGGUAUCAAACAGGAUUAGAUACCCUGGUAGUCCACACAGUAAACGAUGAAUACUCGCUGUUUGCGAUAUACAGUAAGCGGCCAAGCGAAAGCAUUAAGUAUUCCACCUGGGGAGUACGCCAGCAACGGUGAAACUCAAAGGAAUUGACGGGGGCCCGCACAAGCGGAGGAACAUGUGGUUUAAUUCGAUGAUACGCGAGGAACCUUACCCGGGCUUAAAUUGCAGUGGAAUGAUGUGGAAACAUGUCAGUGAGCAAUCACCGCUGUGAAGGUGCUGCAUGGUUGUCGUCAGCUCGUGCCGUGAGGUGUCGGCUUAAGUGCCAUAACGAGCGCAACCCUUAUCUUUAGUUACUAACAGGUUAUGCUGAGGACUCUAGAGAGACUGCCGUCGUAAGAUGUGAGGAAGGUGGGGAUGACGUCAAAUCAGCACGGCCCUUACGUCCGGGGCUACACACGUGUUACAAUGGGGGGUACAGAAGGCAGCUAGCGGGUGACCGUAUGCUAAUCCCAAAAGCCUCUCUCAGUUCGGAUCGAAGUCUGCAACCCGACUUCGUGAAGCUGGAUUCGCUAGUAAUCGCGCAUCAGCCACGGCGCGGUGAAUACGUUCCCGGGCCUUGUACACACCGCCCGUCAAGCCAUGGGAGCCGGGGGUACCUGAAGUACGUAACCGCAAGGAUCGUCCUAGGGUAAAACUGGUGACUGGGGCUAAGUCAUAACA